CCUAAAUAAAUGAAAAGUCAAUCUUCUUUCUGCUCUGCCAGUGCAAUUCCACUCAUUCCCUCUGAUUUCUUCUUUAGGUUACCCUUGUGUGACCCACAUGACUGCUUCUCAAAUCCUUGCCUCUUUCAGAGAUUUCCAUGUGCUUUCCAAUGCAAUCCCUGCACAAGACUCAUCUUCUAAAUGCCAGUGCACAGAUACAAGUAAAAGACAAGAAAAACAUGUACAACUAAUGGCUACAAGCAGAUCUUAGCAGAAGUUUCAGCUAAGACAUUCCAGACAUCAAAAAUGUGUUAUUCUCCCUAUUAAUCCUUAGGUCAACACAGAGUUUUCUAACCUUUGCAAUUAAAAUGCAGCCAGACCUGAUAAUGAAUCACUGAAUCUCUCUACAGAAACUAAUCACCUCUCACACAGAAUCUCUUCUCAUUGACAUUCCCUUUGGCUCAGGAGUGACUCACCAGCUGCUGAGCUAUGAACUUUGAAAUGUUUACUUUGACACUGAACAAUUUGGCCUCUGUUACUGACAAAGAGUGAGGAAAAGGCAGAGAGAACAACCACUCCAUGCCAGAAAUCUCAGCCUCAAACAUCACAACAAUCUAACAGUUAAAACAAUUCUAAAGUUUUUAUACAAUACAUUGAAAACCAUUCUUAAUUAACCAUUUUCAAGACUCCCAUAUGUGGAAACAAAUGAAAGAGAUGCUACUCUGCUCUGCCUAUAGGAGAUUAUAAUCAAAGUCAAAAACAGCUUUUGAUUCAGAUUAAUUUUUUUUUAAUUUUGAUCAGAUUCCUGCUUUGCUUCAGUUUUCUGCUCUCCAAGUGUGUACGGGAGAGGACAUGCUCUGGGCUCAACCUUCUAGCAACAAGAGAGUGAAUUAUGGUCAGAGACCUCAGUUCUGUAGAUGAAAACACUGAGCAUGGGGCAAAACAGUGGCUGUCAUAAUUUGUGUCUCCAACAAAAAGUGAGAAGAGGGAAAAAUAUGCUGGAGCAAAGAAGAGUAAGGGCUGUUCGGUUUUGAUUGAUUUUUUCUGGAUUUGUGGAAGUAUCAAAUUUAAGCAGCUUUUGAGAUGAGAGAAAUGGAUGCACUUUAUUUUUAAGUCAUACACAGAAAUUUAAAAAAUGGUACUCUUUCUGGAGUAGCAGUGAUACUUUCUGGAGACAACAUUUUAAGACUGCUUAAAUAGC
RNAcentral lists this long non-coding RNA (1180 nucleotides) under Cyanistes caeruleus (blue tit). RNAcentral's name for it is "lncRNA (ENSCCEG00000012579.1)". Lineage: Eukaryota; Metazoa; Chordata; Aves; Passeriformes; Paridae. The record is from RNAcentral.